This 3120-nucleotide ribosomal RNA is filed under the name Patescibacteria group bacterium. Its description in RNAcentral is "23S ribosomal RNA". It matches the Rfam family "Bacterial large subunit ribosomal RNA". The record is from RNAcentral.
GUGGUUACUAAUAAGGGUAUACGGUGGAUGCCUUGACACCAAAAGACGAUGAAGGACGUAGCAAUCUGCGAUAAGCUUCGGGGAGGUGAUAAGCAACCUAUGAGCCGGAGAUUUCCGAAUGGGGAAACCCUUCCGUAUGAAGUACGGAAACCACUAAGUGAAUACAUAGCUUAGUAGGAGGUAACCUGGGGAAUUGAAACAUCUUAGUACCCAGAGGAAGAGAAAGAAUUAAUAUGCUAAUUAAAACUAUUGAGAAUUUCGGUUGUCAUUAGUUUUAAUUAGUAUCUCGAUUCCCUGAGUAGUGGCGAGCGAAACGGGAAGAGCCUAAACCUUAGAAUAGAUAAAUUAUUUUGAUCUUUUGGACUUCGGUUCAAGAGUGAGAGAUAGUGCAAUGGUUGUAAGCCUAAUGCUAUCUACGGGUGUUGUAAGAGGCUAUCGUUUGGAAGCUUACAGGUUCCGAGCAGUUAAUGAAUAUUAUUUAGUAGAACAGUUUGGAAAAUCUGACCAAAGACGGUGAAAGUCCGGUAUACGAAAAAUAAUAAUCAGCUGUUGAUAGUUUUCUUGAGUACCACGAGACCGGAGAAAUCUUGUGGGAAGCUAGCAUCACUAUGUGCUAAGGCUAAAUACUUUUGGUGAUCGAUAGUGAACAAGUACCGUGAGGGAAAGGUGAAAAGCACCCCGAGAGGGGGAUGAAAUAGUUUCUGAAACCGUAUACUUACAAGGAAUCGGAGCCCUAUAUCGAGUUUACUCGAGAUGGGUGACGGUGUGCCUAUUGAAGAAUGAGCCAACGAGUUAGCUAUAUGUAGCUUAUUUAACUCCUUUGGGAGGUAGGUAAAGUGAAAGCGAGGAUUAAUAGUCCGUAACAAACUUUAUACUUUGUCCAAUUUAUUGGGCAGGGUAUAAAUUUUGUAGGCUGCAUAUACUAGACCCGAAACCGGGUGAGCUUACCAUGACCAGGGUGAAGCGACCGUAACAAGUCGUGGAGGCCCGAACCCACUAGCCGUGCAACACUAGGGGAUGAGUUGUGGUAAGAGGAGAAAUUCCAAUCGAACUCGGCAAUAGCUGGUUCUCCUCGAAAUAGUUUUAGGACUAGCCUCAAAGUUUAAGUUUUGGUGGUAGAGCACUGGAUGGAGUGGGGUGGCAUUGCGUCCAUACCCACUUCAAUCAAACUCCGAAUGCCAUUACGUAUACUUUGGGAGUCAGACCAUGGGGGCUAAGCUUCAUUGGUCAAAAGGGAAACAGCCCAGAUCUCAAUCUAAGGUCCCAAAAUCUAAGUUAAGUGUAAAAGGUGGUAAAGUGACUUAUACAACUAGGAGGUUGGCUUAGAAGCAGCCAUCCUUUAAAGAUAGCGUAAUAGCUCACUAGUCAAGUUACUUCGCGCCGAUAAUUUAACGGGGCUAAACUUAGUACCGAAGAUGAGAACUUUCGUCUUUAUUGACGAAAUUGGUAGAGGAGCGUUCUAUACUGCGUUGAAGCGGUACCGUGAGGAGCCGUGGAGUGUAUAGAAGUGAGAAUGUUGGCAUGAGUAGCAAAAAUCGGGGUGAGAAUCCCCGACACCGCAAACCCAAGGUUUCCUGGGCAACGUGAAUCGACCCAGGGUUAGGCAAUCCUAAGGCGAGGCCGAAAGGCGUAGUCGAUGGAAGAGCAGGUUAAUAUUCCUGCCCUACUGCUAAUUUUCGAUGAGGGGACGCAGAGUGAAAUUUUUUCGCGCUAUUUGGUUAUGAGCGUUGGUCGUUAGUAGUGUGUUUUUUAGGUAAAUCCGGAAGACAUUAAGCACGAAAGCGAUCAGAAGAUUGCGGCUACGGCCAAAGUCAAUGAAAAGCGAAGCUUUGUCCAGAAAAGCCUCUAGAGCUAAGUUAGUAGUAUCUGUACUGCAAACCAACACAGGUGGGUGAGGAGAGUAUCCUCAGGUGUACGAGAGAACCUUCGUUUAGGAACUCGGCAAAACAGCGGCCGUAACUUCGGAAUAAGGCCCGCCCUGCUUUGCAGGGCCGCAGCGAAAGAUUUCAAGCGACUGUUUACCAAAAACUUAGGUCCCUGCUAAAGCGUAAGCUGAUGUAUAGGGGCUGAUGCCUGGCCAGUGUCCGAACGUUAAGGGGAGGGGUUCACGCCCUGAACUGAAGCGCGGAUGAACGCCGGCCGUAACUAUAACGGUCCUAAGGUAGCGAAAUUCCUUGACGGGUGAGUUCCGUCCUGCACGAAUGGCAUAACGACUUGAAAACUGUCUCAACGAAGGACUCGGCGAAAUUGCAAGACGAGUAAAGAUGCUCGUUACCCAUAGCUAGACGAAGAGACCCCAUGAAGCUUUACUACAAUUUGGUAUUGAUUUAGGAUCAUAUUUGUUCAGGAUAGGUGGGAGACUUUGAAGCUGUAACGUAAGUUACGGUGGAGUCAUCCUUGAGAUACCACCCUGAUAUGAUUUUAAAUCUAACUUAGUCCCAUGAAUCUGGGACAAGGACAGUAUCUGACGGGUAGUUUAACUGGGGCGGUUGCCUCCCAAAAUGUAACGGAGGCGUUUACAAAGGUUGGCUAGCUCCUGAUGGAAACAGGAGUCGUCGUGCAAACGCAUAAGCCAGCUUUACUGCAAGAGCUACAACUCGAGCAGUUGCGAAAGCAGAAGUUAGUGAUCCGACCGUACGAUAUAGGACGGCGGAAGCUCAACGGAUAAAAGUUACUCUGGGGAUAACAGGCUGAUCCUGCCCAAGCGCCCACAGCGACGGCAGGGUUUGGCACCUCGAUGUCGGCUCAUCGCAUCCUGGGGGUGGAGAAGCUCCCAAGGGUUAGGCUGUUCGCCUAUUAAAGCGGUACGCGAGCUGGGUUCAGAACGUCGUGAGACAGUUCGGUCUCCUAUCUGCUAUGGGCGUUGAAUUUUGAAGGGUCUCCUUUCUAGUACGAGAGGACCGAAAGGAACGAACCUCUAGUGUACCAGUUGUUUUACCAAAAGCAUCGCUGGGUAGCUACGUUCGGUUAAGAUAAGUGCUGAAAGCAUAUAAGCACGAAGCUGUCCCUAAGAUUAGAAUUCAUUAUAGAUUCCUGGGAGACUACCAGGUUGAUAGGCUAUAUGUGUAAGUGCAGUAAUGCAUUAAGCAAAGUAGUACUAAUAAAUCGAAGUAACCACUA